GGAGGGUUGCACCGAAUGGUAAGGUACCGCUCUUGAAAAGCGGCGGGUAGCAAUACCCUUGCAGGUUCGAGUCCUGCACCCUCCG
This 85-nucleotide transfer RNA is filed under the name Candidatus Nealsonbacteria bacterium CG_4_10_14_0_2_um_filter_37_10. RNAcentral's name for it is "tRNA-Ser". It matches the Rfam family "tRNA". From Rfam's summary of the family: Transfer RNA (tRNA) molecules are approximately 80 nucleotides in length. Lineage: Bacteria; Candidatus Nealsoniibacteriota. RNAcentral also lists the same sequence under 2 other names. The record is from RNAcentral.